GAUGAACGAGGGAGGGGUGAUUAACACAUGCAAGUCGAACGGUGAAGGCGGAGCUUGCUCUGCUGGAUCAGUGGCGAACGGGUGAGUAACACGUGAGCAAUCUGCCCCUGACUCUGGGAUAAGCGCUGGAAACGGCGUCUAAUACUGGAUACGAGCUGCGAAGGCAUCUUCAGCAGCUGGAAAGAAUUUCGGUCAGGGAUGAGCUCGCGGCCUAUCAGCUUGUUGGUGAGGUAAUGGCUCACCAAGGCGUCGACGGGUAGCCGGCCUGAGAGGGUGACCGGCCACACUGGGACUGAGACACGGCCCAGACUCCUACGGGAGGCAGCAGUGGGGAAUAUUGCACAAUGGGCGAAAGCCUGAUGCAGCAACGCCGCGUGAGGGACGACGGCCUUCGGGUUGUAAACCUCUUUUAGCAGGGAAGAAGCGAAAGUGACGGUACCUGCAGAAAAAGCGCCGGCUAACUACGUG
RNAcentral lists this ribosomal RNA (468 nucleotides) under uncultured bacterium. RNAcentral's name for it is "partial 16S ribosomal RNA". It matches the Rfam family "Bacterial small subunit ribosomal RNA", at positions 28 to 507 of the family's 1533-position model. The record is from RNAcentral.